AAAACGGCUCUUUUUAGAGCCACCCACAACGAUCUUAAAAGGUUG
Molecule: non-coding RNA, 45 nt
Organism: Calypte anna (Anna's hummingbird)
Lineage: Eukaryota; Metazoa; Chordata; Aves; Apodiformes; Trochilidae
Source: Rfam